ACCACUGGAAAUGGGAGUGAAGAGAUGAAGCAUGUAACAUGCUGAAUUUCAAUUUAGGAAGACUAUUUACUAAUCAGGAGUAUAUUGGUAAUUAGUGGAUUUAUCAGGGUUUAGAUGUUAAAUUGAUGUUUUGUGUUGUAUUGAUAGUAUUGAAGGGUAGAAUGGCAAUCCAAGACAUAAUGUAUGAGCACAAGUGAGAUUGACCUCACUGUGCCACACAUCGCGGCGCAUUGCGUGGAAAUUGCUUAAAGCUGACAUGAUCAGCUUGUGAAAACAGAAGUGAGAAGUGUGGAAAAUGUGUUUGGAGAGGAGGAAGUGUUUUGCUCUGCUAGGGCAAGUAAUAUCUGGAGCUUGGGAGCUUGAUUUGAUUGAUGACUUGUUGGAUGAAGAGAGCAUGAGAAGGCUGGGAAAGGAAGCAAGAAAGAGUAGCUUCAUUUGAUAGUGGUAUGACUACUAUAUGUAUUAAUGAAUGUAUAAAGUUGUAUAUAAAGUUUUAGUUUCUAAUUAGGAUGCAUAAAUAACUGCGUAUUGAAUUGUGUUGUGAAACUUGCUUAUAUAUAUAUAUGAUGUUGCAUCUCCCCGAAGGUGCCCUAGUGGAGGUACGUGGGUAGGCUUAGAUGCUAAACAAGCAAAUAUAUGUCAUUAUGUAACUUGUUCCACUUGUAUGUAUAUGUUGAAUGUGAAUUGAUUGUGGAUUGUGAAUAUA
Molecule: long non-coding RNA, 706 nt
Organism: Prosopis cineraria
Lineage: Eukaryota; Viridiplantae; Streptophyta; Magnoliopsida; Fabales; Fabaceae
Exons: 2
Source: RefSeq, a predicted model, not a curated record